GGGCUGGAGCAUGCCUGUGAGGGAAGCCACAAAUGUGGAGUCCUGGAGUAAACAGUGCAACAAGGUCCAGCUUGCAGAAAAGAAAAGAAAAACUGGAAAUCCAUACAUCUUUCAAAAGUUUGAAAUUGAAGCAAUAUUUAGAACCAUAGAUGAGGAAACACUGCCGCAUGGUGUAAUAUACACAAUGCGCUUUUCUUCUUUAAUCUGUAAUGUACAUCAAAUACUUUACAACAAUGCAUUAACAAAAGGCAAGAAACAUCUUGCUGUACAGAGGAACCCCAAUGCAACUUGAAGCCUAGAAUCACAACGGAUGAAGAGAGUAAACAAAGCGUGAGAAGCCGUCCCUCUAAAGUGUGUGCACUACACCGCCCCUUGUGCUUAACGGUAACCUUCACGCCCCACCACCCCGCCUGUCUCCUCUGCUGCCUUCCGCCACAUUCAAGAUAAAGCACUUUUUAUACUCCACAGCUCCAACUAGAAAGGUGCUGUGAUCCCAGACAAAGAGACUGAAGAUGUACAAGGUCUAACAGUCACUCGGGGAUCUUCCUGCCAGCGCAGUGGGCUGUGGUCAACACCUCUCUGGAGGACAGAGGCUUCCCACCGGAUAUUUCACACAAGUUGAAGGGGAAAAUGAACACAAAUGUGUGGGUCUCCUUUACCUGGUUAUGUUUGAUGUCUUCAGCGGGCGCAC
Callorhinus ursinus (northern fur seal) is the source of this 691-nucleotide non-coding RNA. NCBI's taxonomy places the organism in Eukaryota, Metazoa, Chordata, Mammalia, Carnivora, Otariidae. The record is from RefSeq and is a predicted model, not a curated record.